GACGAACGCUGGCGGCGUGCUUAACACAUGCAAGUCGAACGGAAAGGCCCUGCUUUUGUGGGGUGCUCGAGUGGCGAACGGGUGAGUAACACGUGAGUAACCUGCCCUUGACUUUGGGAUAACUUCAGGAAACUGGGUCUAAUACCGGAUAGGAUCUCCUGCUGCAUGGUGGGGGUUGGAAAGUUUCGGCGGUUGGGGAUGGACUCGCGGCUUAUCAGCUUGUUGGUGGGGUAGUGGCUUACCAAGGCUUUGACGGGUAGCCGGCAUGAGAGGGUGACCGGCCACAAGGGGACUGAGAGACGGCACAGACGCGAACGGGAGGCAGCAGUGGGGAAUAUUGCACAAUGGGCGGAAGCCUGAUGCAGCAACGGAGCGUGCGGGAUGACGGCCUUCGGGUUGUAAACCGCUUUCGCCUGUGACGAAGCGUGAGUGACGGUAAUGGGUAAAGAAGCACCGGCUAACUACGUG
This 468-nucleotide ribosomal RNA is filed under the name uncultured bacterium. Its description in RNAcentral is "partial 16S ribosomal RNA". It matches the Rfam family "Bacterial small subunit ribosomal RNA", at positions 28 to 507 of the family's 1533-position model. The record is from RNAcentral.